RNAcentral lists this ribosomal RNA (245 nucleotides) under uncultured bacterium. RNAcentral's name for it is "partial 16S ribosomal RNA". It matches the Rfam family "Bacterial small subunit ribosomal RNA", at positions 334 to 594 of the family's 1533-position model. The record is from RNAcentral.
GAAUCCUACGGGACGCAGCAGUGGGGAAUAUUGCACAAUGGGGGGAACCCUGAUGCAGCGACGCCGCGUGGGCGAGGAAGUAUUUCGGUAUGUAAAGCCCUAUCGGCAGGGAAGAAGAAAUGACGGUACCUGAAUAAGAAGCACCGGCUAACUACGUGCCAGCAGCCGCGGUAAUACGUAGGGGGCAAGCGUUAUCCGGAUUUGCUGGGUGUAAAGGGGGCGCAGACGGCGAUGCAAGCCAGGAG